UGGUUGUUGUUGUCGAUGAUGAUGAUGAU
RNAcentral lists this non-coding RNA (29 nucleotides) under Mus musculus (house mouse). Lineage: Eukaryota; Metazoa; Chordata; Mammalia; Rodentia; Muridae. The record is from RNAcentral.